CGCGGCCUAUCAGCUUGUUGGUGGGGUAACGGCCUACCAAGGCAUCGACGGGUAGCUGGUCUGAGAGGACGAUCAGCCACACUGGGACUGAGACACGGCCCAGACUCCUACGGGAGGCAGCAGUGGGGAAUAUUGCGCAAUGGGCGAAAGCCUGACGCAGCAACGCCGCGUGGGGGAUGAAGGCUUUCGGGUUGUAAACCCCUUUCAGUGAUGACGAAAAUGACGGUAAUCACAGAAGAAGCCCCGGCCAACUACGUGCCAGCAGCCGCGGUAACACGUAGGGGGCAAGCGUUGUCCGGAUUUAUUGGGCGUAAAGAGCUCGUAGGCGGUUGCGUAAGUCGGACGUGAAAACUCAGGGCUCAACCCUGAGAUGCCGUUCGAUACUGCGCUGACUAGAGUCCGGUAGGGGAGCAUGGAAUUCCUGGUGUAGCGGUGAAAUGCGCAGAUAUCAGGAGGAACGCCAGUGGCGAAGGCGGUGCUCUGGGCCGGAACUGACGCUGAGGAGCGAAAGCAUGGGUAGCAAACAGGAUUAGAUACCCUGGUAGUCCAUGCCGUAAACGUUGGGCACUAGGUGUGGGGUCUACUUAACGGAUUCCGUGCCGUAGCUAACGCAUUAAGUGCCCCGCCUGGGGAGUACGG
RNAcentral lists this ribosomal RNA (639 nucleotides) under uncultured bacterium. RNAcentral describes it as "bacterial SSU rRNA". It matches the Rfam family "Bacterial small subunit ribosomal RNA", at positions 232 to 885 of the family's 1533-position model. The record is from RNAcentral.